GACGAACGCUGGCGGCGUGCUUAACACAUGCAAGUCGAACGGAAAGGCCCUGCUUUUGUGGGGUGCUCGAGUGGCGAACGGGUGAGUAACACGUGAGUAACCUGCCCUUGACUUUGGGAUAACUUCAGGAAACUGGGGCAAAUACCGGAUAGGAGCUCCUGCUGAAUGGUGGGGGUUGGAAAGUUUCGGCGGUUGGGGAUGGACUCGCGGCUUAUCAGCUUGUGGGUGGGGUAGUGGCUUACCAAGGCUUUGACGGGUAGCCGGCCUGAGAGGGUGACCGGCCACAUUGGGCCUGCGAUACGGCCCAGACUCCUACGGGAGGCAGCAGUGGGGAAUCUUGCCCAAUGGGCGGACGCCUGAUGCAGCAACGCCGCGUGCGGGAUGACGGCCUUCGGGUUGUAAACCGCUUUCGCCUGUGACGACGCGUGAGUGACGGUAAUGGGUAAAGAAGCACCGGCUAACUACGUG
This 468-nucleotide ribosomal RNA is filed under the name uncultured bacterium. RNAcentral's name for it is "partial 16S ribosomal RNA". It matches the Rfam family "Bacterial small subunit ribosomal RNA", at positions 28 to 507 of the family's 1533-position model. The record is from RNAcentral.